Acanthopagrus latus (yellowfin seabream) is the source of this 482-nucleotide long non-coding RNA. RefSeq lists it as uncharacterized. The record is from RefSeq and is a predicted model, not a curated record. The transcript has 2 exons. Lineage: Eukaryota; Metazoa; Chordata; Actinopteri; Spariformes; Sparidae.
UGUGUCUGGCUGCAGGAAUGUUCAGCAGACCUGUUGGGUGUGAGCUGAAUGUUUAUUUCACAAAAACAAGCCAUCCCUGAUGUUGUUUUGAGGCAGUAACCGGCCUUGCAAUCACCCCCAGGACCUCCACGUGCAGCUGCUUCACCUGAGUCAAUGGUCCUUACUAAGGCUGGUAAUGUCUCUGACCUGUGAGCCUCCAAGUCCUGACAGUCUGCGUUUGCACAGUCAUGCUCGCUGUGUACGGCAUCAUGACAUGUCCUAACAAACUGUUUUAAUACAUUAUGAGCGCUCUCCCAAGCACUCUCAGUUCAGUUGAAAAGUUCACCACGAUAAAGACACCGCUGGGGCAACAAUGUUCUGCAACUUCUGCAGCUUGUCCUUGACAGGGUGGAUACCGUGAAAUGUAUUCAUCUAAUCACGCCCCCACCUAUAAGAUACUUCUCCCUGACACAUGAACAACUGCAGCCAAAAAAAAAAAAAAA